GGAACUGUGCCUGAAACUAUAAGGGUUACUUUGAUAGAGUAAUAUAUAGGGGUUAAAAUCCCCUCAGCUCCU
Molecule: transfer RNA, 72 nt
Filed under: Henicorhynchus lobatus
Lineage: Eukaryota; Metazoa; Chordata; Actinopteri; Cypriniformes; Cyprinidae
Description: tRNA-Ile
Rfam family: tRNA
About the family: Transfer RNA (tRNA) molecules are approximately 80 nucleotides in length. Their secondary structure includes four short double-helical elements and three loops (D, anti-codon, and T loops).
Source: RNAcentral